GGCGGGUGCUGGGCGCGCCAUGGGGCUGCUGCGGGCGCUGGCGCGGGGUUUUGCGCGCGGCGCGGACCGCGUGUCGCCGUUCACGAGCAAGCGCGGGCCCCGCUCGCACUACAAGGGCCGCGGCGCGCGGCGGCCCGGGGUGCUCAGCGCCGGCAAGAAGUUCCUCCGCAUCGCGCAGAUGGUGCCGCAGUUCGUCGUCCCCGACCUCGCCGGCUUCAAGCUCAAGCCGUACGUGUCGUACCGCGCCCCCGAGGGCUCCGAGCCGCCCGUCACGGCCAAGCAGCUCUUCACCGCCGUGGUGGCUCCGCGCAUCGAGAAGGACGUGAAGAACGGCACCUUCGACCCCGAUAACCUGGAGAAGUACGGCUUCGAGCCCACGCAGGAGGGCAAGCUCUUCCAGCUCUUCCCCAAGAACUACAUGCGGUAGGCGGGAGCGGCGCCCCCGGCGAGGCACGACCCGCACCGGCACCAGGACGGGGCGGCUCCGGACACCGACCAUUAAAGCAAACCCACCCUCCUCGGUCUGUGUGCGGUGUCUGAUGUACAUUGCGGGGAGGGGGGGCAGUUGGUGCCUAUCUCCCAUCACGGCACGUCCGGCUCCGGGCGCUGGGGGGAGCGGGAGGCGGCUUCUCUCCGGGUUGCUGAAACAUCAGCGCUUCCUUCUGGGAAGGAAUUCCUGCCCCGCGGAACAGGGCCGGGCGCAGCUUGUGGCCCUGGGGGAGUGGGGGGCUCCCCGGCUGUGGGGACCCGGCCACUGCCAGCACAACAGCGGCAUGUUCUGGCCUGGACGCUGCUGCAGCUCACACUGCGCAGCAGCCACAGGCAGGGGGAGUGUGUUGAUGGACCCUCAACUCCCUCUGAGGAGAGACCUGCAGCCCGCGCUGAGCACCACCACAGCUUUUCCAGGCGUAAAGCUUUCCCGUAGAGUAACUCAGGAUGCACUUCAUGGGUACACUGAAUGUCUGGUCUUUAGCGCAGCUGCUUGAAGUUACAGAGUAACUGAUUAAAUGUGAAACAUAGCCCAGGAAUUGUUAUUUUUGGAUAUAAAUUCCUGGCAGAGCAGGAUCUUCCUAAUCAUUAAAUUAAGUGGAUAUAAGUGA
Molecule: long non-coding RNA, 1100 nt
Filed under: Strigops habroptila (Kakapo)
Lineage: Eukaryota; Metazoa; Chordata; Aves; Psittaciformes; Psittacidae
Description: lncRNA (ENSSHBG00005009155.1)
Source: RNAcentral